Molecule: ribosomal RNA, 2894 nt
Filed under: Klebsiella pneumoniae
Lineage: Bacteria; Pseudomonadati; Pseudomonadota; Gammaproteobacteria; Enterobacterales; Enterobacteriaceae
Description: 23S ribosomal RNA
Rfam family: Bacterial large subunit ribosomal RNA
Source: RNAcentral
UUAAGCGACUAAGCGUACACGGUGGAUGCCCUGGCAGUCAGAGGCGAUGAAGGACGUGCUAAUCUGCGAAAAGCGUCGGUAAGGUGAUAUGAACCGUUAUAACCGGCGAUGUCCGAAUGGGGAAACCCAGUGUGAUUCGUCACACUAUCGUUAACUGAAUACAUAGGUUAACGAGGCGAACCGGGGGAACUGAAACAUCUAAGUACCCCGAGGAAAAGAAAUCAACCGAGAUUCCCCCAGUAGCGGCGAGCGAACGGGGAGCAGCCCAGAGUCUGAAUCAGCUUGUGUGUUAGUGGAACGGUCUGGAAAGUCCGACGGUACAGGGUGAUAGUCCCGUACACCAAAAUGCACAGGCUGUGAACUCGAAGAGUAGGGCGGGACACGUGGUAUCCUGUCUGAAUAUGGGGGGACCAUCCUCCAAGGCUAAAUACUCCUGACUGACCGAUAGUGAACCAGUACCGUGAGGGAAAGGCGAAAAGAACCCCGGCGAGGGGAGUGAAAAAGAACCUGAAACCGUGUACGUACAAGCAGUGGGAGCACCUUCGGGUGUGACUGCGUACCUUUUGUAUAAUGGGUCAGCGACUUAUAUUCUGUAGCAAGGUUAACCGUAUAGGGGAGCCGCAGGGAAACCGAGUCUUAACUGGGCGUUAAGUUGCAGGGUAUAGACCCGAAACCCGGUGAUCUAGCCAUGGGCAGGUUGAAGGUUGGGUAACACUAACUGGAGGACCGAACCGACUAAUGUUGAAAAAUUAGCGGAUGACUUGUGGCUGGGGGUGAAAGGCCAAUCAAACCGGGAGAUAGCUGGUUCUCCCCGAAAGCUAUUUAGGUAGCGCCUCGUGAACUCAUCUUCGGGGGUAGAGCACUGUUUCGGCUAGGGGGUCAUCCCGACUUACCAACCCGAUGCAAACUACGAAUACCGAAGAAUGUUAUCACGGGAGACACACGGCGGGUGCUAACGUCCGUCGUGAAGAGGGAAACAGACCGCCAGCUAAGGUCCCAAAGUCAUGGUUAAGUGGGAAACGAUGUGGGAAGGCACAGACAGCCAGGAUGUUGGCUUAGAAGCAGCCAUCAUUUAAAGAAAGCGUAAUAGCUCACUGGUCGAGUCGGCCUGCGCGGAAGAUGUAACGGGGCUAAACCAUGCACCGAAGCUGCGGCAGCGACACUAUGUGUUGUUGGGUAGGGGAGCGUUCUGUAAGCCUGCGAAGGUGUGCUGUGAGGCAUGCUGGAGGUAUCAGAAGUGCGAAUGCUGACAUAAGUAACGAUAAAGCGGGUGAAAAGCCCGCUCGCCGGAAGACCAAGGGUUCCUGUCCAACGUUAAUCGGGGCAGGGUGAGUCGACCCCUAAGGCGAGGCCGAAAGGCGUAGUCGAUGGGAAACAGGUUAAUAUUCCUGUACUUGGUGUUACUGCGAAGGGGGGACGGAGAAGGCUAUGUUAGCCGGGCGACGGUUGUCCCGGUUUAAGCAUGUAGGCUGGUUGUCCAGGCAAAUCCGGAUAAUCAAGGCUGAGGUGUGAUGACGAGGCACUACGGUGCUGAAGUAACAAAUGCCCUGCUUCCAGGAAAAGCCUCUAAGCAUCAGGUAACAUCAAAUCGUACCCCAAACCGACACAGGUGGUCAGGUAGAGAAUACCAAGGCGCUUGAGAGAACUCGGGUGAAGGAACUAGGCAAAAUGGUGCCGUAACUUCGGGAGAAGGCACGCUGGUGUGUAGGUGAAGUCCCUGCGGAUGGAGCUGAGACCAGUCGAAGAUACCAGCUGGCUGCAACUGUUUAUUAAAAACACAGCACUGUGCAAACACGAAAGUGGACGUAUACGGUGUGACGCCUGCCCGGUGCCGGAAGGUUAAUUGAUGGGGUUAUCCGUAAGGAGAAGCUCUUGAUCGAAGCCCCGGUAAACGGCGGCCGUAACUAUAACGGUCCUAAGGUAGCGAAAUUCCUUGUCGGGUAAGUUCCGACCUGCACGAAUGGCGUAAUGAUGGCCAGGCUGUCUCCACCCGAGACUCAGUGAAAUUGAACUCGCUGUGAAGAUGCAGUGUACCCGCGGCAAGACGGAAAGACCCCGUGAACCUUUACUAUAGCUUGACACUGAACAUUGAGCCUUGAUGUGUAGGAUAGGUGGGAGGCUUUGAAGCGUGGACGCCAGUCUGCGUGGAGCCAACCUUGAAAUACCACCCUUUAAUGUUUGAUGUUCUAACGUUGGCCCCUUAUCGGGGUUGCGGACAGUGUCUGGUGGGUAGUUUGACUGGGGCGGUCUCCUCCCAAAGCGUAACGGAGGAGCACGAAGGUUAGCUAAUCCUGGUCGGACAUCAGGAGGUUAGUGCAAUGGCAUAAGCUAGCUUGACUGCGAGCGUGACGGCGCGAGCAGGUGCGAAAGCAGGUCAUAGUGAUCCGGUGGUUCUGAAUGGAAGGGCCAUCGCUCAACGGAUAAAAGGUACUCCGGGGAUAACAGGCUGAUACCGCCCAAGAGUUCAUAUCGACGGCGGUGUUUGGCACCUCGAUGUCGGCUCAUCACAUCCUGGGGCUGAAGUAGGUCCCAAGGGUAUGGCUGUUCGCCAUUUAAAGUGGUACGCGAGCUGGGUUUAGAACGUCGUGAGACAGUUCGGUCCCUAUCUGCCGUGGGCGCUGGAGAAUUGAGGGGGGCUGCUCCUAGUACGAGAGGACCGGAGUGGACGCAUCACUGGUGUUCGGGUUGUCAUGCCAAUGGCACUGCCCGGUAGCUAAAUGCGGAAGAGAUAAGUGCUGAAAGCAUCUAAGCACGAAACUUGCCCCGAGAUGAGUUCUCCCUGAGACUUUAAGUCUCCUGAAGGAACGUUGAAGACGACGACGUUGAUAGGCCGGGUGUGUAAGCGCAGCGAUGCGUUGAGCUAACCGGUACUAAUGAACCGUGAGGCUUAACCU